Molecule: ribosomal RNA, 468 nt
Filed under: uncultured bacterium
Lineage: Bacteria
Description: partial 16S ribosomal RNA
Rfam family: Bacterial small subunit ribosomal RNA
Source: RNAcentral
GACGAACGCUGGCGGCGUGCUUAACACAUGCAAGUCGAACGGAAAGGCCCUGCUUUUGUGGGGUGCUCGAGUGGCGAACGGGUGAGUAACACGUGAGUAACCUGCCCUUGACUUUGGGAUAACUUCAGGAAACUGGGGCUAAUACAGGAUAGGAGCUCCUGCUGCAUGGUGGGGGUUGGAAAGUUUGGGCGGUUGGGGAUGGACUCGCGGCUUAUCAGCUGGUUGGUGGGGUAGUGGCUUACCAAGGCUUCGACGGGUAGCCGGCCUGAGAGGGUGACCGGCCACAUUGGGACUGAGAUACGGCCCAGACUCCUACGGGAGGCAGAAGUGGGGAAUAUUGCACAAUGGGCGGAAGCCUGGUGCAGCAACGCCGCGUGCGGGAUGACGGCCUUCGGGUUGUAAACCGCUUUCGCCUGUGACGAAGCGUGAGUGACGGUAAUGGGUAAAGAAGCACCGGCUAACUACGUG